Molecule: ribosomal RNA, 449 nt
Filed under: uncultured bacterium
Lineage: Bacteria
Description: partial 16S ribosomal RNA
Rfam family: Bacterial small subunit ribosomal RNA
Source: RNAcentral
AACGAACGCUGGCGGCAUGCCUAACACAUGCAAGUCGAACGAGAUCUUCGGGUCUAGUGGCGCACGGGUGCGUAACGCGUGGGAAUCUGCCCUUUGGUUCGGAAUAACAGUUGGAAACGACUGCUAAUACCGGAUGAUGACGAAAGUCCAAAGAUUUAUCGCCAGAGGAUGAGCCCGCGUAGGAUUAGCUAGUUGGUGUGGUAAAGGCGCACCAGGGCGACGAUCCUUAGCUGGUCUGAGAGGAUGAUCAGCCACACUGGGACUGAGACACGGCCCAGACUCCUACGGGAGGCAGCAGUGGGGAAUAUUGGACAAUGGGCGAAAGCCUGGUCCAGCAAUGCCGCGUGAGUGAUGAAGGCCUUAGGGUUGUAAGGCUCUUUUACCCGGGAUGAUAAUGACAGUACCGGGAGAAUAAGCUCCGGCUAACUCCGUGCCAGCCGCCGCCGUAA